Molecule: ribosomal RNA, 895 nt
Filed under: uncultured archaeon
Lineage: Archaea
Description: bacterial SSU rRNA
Rfam family: Archaeal small subunit ribosomal RNA
Source: RNAcentral
CCUGCCGGACCCCACUGCUAUCGGAAUAGGACUAAGACAUGCUAGUCGAGCGCCUCCCAGCCACGACGGAGGCGCGGCGCACAGCUCAGUAACACGUGGCUAACCUGCCCUCGGGACGGGAAUACCCCCGGGAAACUGGGGCUAAUCCUCGAUAGGUGAAGAACUCUGGAAUGAGUCUCCGCCCAAAAGACGCUUAAAUCAUGCUUUUAGGCGCCGCCCAAGGAUGGGACCGCGACCGAUCAGGUAGUUGGUGAGGCAACGGCUCACCAAGCCUUUAACCGGUGCGGGCCGUGGGAGCGGGAGCCCGGAGAUGGGCACUGAGACAAGGGCCCAGGCCCUACGGGGCGCAGCAGUCGCGAAAACUUCACAAUAAGCGAAAGCUUGACGGGGUCAUCUCGAGUCCCAUCUGCUGAGGAUGGCUUUUACCCAGUAUAGAUAGCUGKGGGAAUAAGGAGAGGGCAAGUCUGGUGUCAGCCGCCGCGGUAAUAUCAUCUCUUCGAGUUGUGGGUACGUUUAUUGAGCCUGAAGCAUCCGUAGCCGGCUGUGUAAGUCCUCUGUUAAAUCCAGCGACUAAUCGUUGGCCUGCGGGGGAUACUGCUCGGCUAGGGGGCGGGAGAGGCCGUCGGUAUUCUUGGGGUAGGGGUGAAAUCCUAUAAUCCCAGGAGGACCACCAGUGGCGAAACCUGUCCGCUAGAACGCGCCCGACGGUGAGGGAUGAAAGCUGGGGGGAGCGAACCGGAUUAGAUACCCGGGUAGUCCCAGCUGUAAACGAUGCAGGCUAGGUGUUAGGGCGGCUACGUGCCGCUCUAGUGCCGCAGGGAAGCUGUUAAGCCUGCCGCUUGGGGAGUACGGCCGCAAGGCUGAAACUUAAAGGAAUUGGCGGGAAGGGCGAAUU